Molecule: long non-coding RNA, 897 nt
Organism: Motacilla alba alba
Lineage: Eukaryota; Metazoa; Chordata; Aves; Passeriformes; Motacillidae
Exons: 5
Source: RefSeq, a predicted model, not a curated record
CUGUGGAUCAAAUCUUGUUUUAUUAACAGUAUUAUAGCACAACUGUAAUGCUAAAUUAGACUAAACGUCGCCCAAUACUGUGUGGUUUCGUAAAGAAAAAAGUUCAAAUGCGGGACAAACUAAGGAUGUGGUAUUUCAAGGGAUGUAGAGACAAAACCCACCUUUGCACAGCCCUCACAGACCACCACCCUCAGCCUCUGAGGCGAUGGAUAAAGUAAAAACAACUUUCACAUCCCUAAGGUGUUUGAGCCGCCUCUCCCUUUCCCCACCUGCCCUAGAUUUUGGGUAUUUCAGUGCGAAAGGAAACUCCGUCGAAACCCUGCUCUGGGGUUUCCGCUCGUCCUGCCCCCGCCGUGCUCUCUUGGUAGUUCCGGAGCAUUUCUUCUUCCAGGCUUGAAUAUCCUCUGGAGCACCGGAGGGACUUAGCUCAGCUCACCAAGCUCACUUUGCUGCACUGCUUCCCAUCAUGACGUCUGCUCUCCAGCGCUGCUUUCCUGAUCCAGAGUCCUGUUCCUAAAGCAGACAAGGAGCUGAGUGUAACCCCCAGGUGUGUGCACAGGGCCCUGCUCGUGAGGAAGAGUUCCCUGGUCUGUUGGUGAGCCCCAGCUGCCUUCCUGCAGUGAGGAUCAAGUAGUGCCAGAAUGUGUUACUUCAGGGAAGAGAAGGAGGUGACUCCAGGAGUGAGUUGCCAUCAUGGUGAGUCCCAUGAGGUGGCCGCAGUGUCACUGGGUCCUCAGGCUGUGCUGAUCAGCAGCGUGGGCUUAGUGGAGUGUGAAUUUCAUAAGGGCCUUAAGGUGAAGCAGGGCAGGGCUGGAUGGGAUCUUGGCAAUGAGGAAUUGUUCCCUGGCAGGGUGGGCAGAGCCUGGCACAGGGUGCCCAGAGCAGCUGGGGCUGCCC